UUAACAGGAGUCAAGAAAUGCUGCCUCCCACAGAGACAAGACACUGGAACAACUGUGCAUAGCCUUCAGGAGAAGCAGUGUUUCCUUAUUCCUAUAAUGUUCAGAGCUUUCUGGGAACCAGGAACUGAAACUGGCUGAGGUGGUACCAGCAGGAUGACUGGCAUCCAUUCGCCUUGGUGAGAACAAGCAUCACUCUGCUCUCGCUGAGUUUCUGUUGUUUGGGUUGAUAAGCACUGUCUGGGAACUCACUCCAGGAAAGAUGCUGAGCCUGAAGACAGCCAAAACAGAGUUUUGCCAAAAAAGAAAAUAAAAGGGCCUGUGACAUUGCUGUCAUGUGGAACAUUACUGUAGGUGCUUGUGAUCCCUCAGAGGACAAUGGUCCCCUCUGCUGUGUAUCCUGGAGCAAUCCUUCCCAACAUACAUCCACCUCAGGGUAGUGCCUUAAUGCUGAUGAGUAGCCAAUUGCACUCAACUGCCUCCACCUGCCUUCUGCUGCUGGCUUUAUCUACAGCUGCCUCUGGUUCCCAUCUGUGCCUGUGGGCUCCCUCCUCCUGGUGCAGACCGUGGCUUCUUUCUGCUCCCCAGCUCUUCCUCGGAGCAACUGCCAUAAGGACAGACCCCUCCAGCCUGGUGCUGGCCCUGUUGGAGCCAGGGAGAGCUCAGACCGACGCUGUGCAGCCAGGCACUUCUGCCUUCCCUUCACCACACUGA
Molecule: long non-coding RNA, 711 nt
Filed under: Melopsittacus undulatus (budgerigar)
Lineage: Eukaryota; Metazoa; Chordata; Aves; Psittaciformes; Psittaculidae
Description: lncRNA (ENSMUNG00000021603.1)
Source: RNAcentral